This 413-nucleotide ribosomal RNA is filed under the name uncultured prokaryote. Its description in RNAcentral is "bacterial SSU rRNA". It matches the Rfam family "Bacterial small subunit ribosomal RNA", at positions 505 to 918 of the family's 1533-position model. The record is from RNAcentral.
GUGUCAGCAGCCGCGGUAAUACGUAGGGGGCGAGCGUUACCCGGAAUUACUGGGCGUAAAGGGGGCGUAGGCGGCCCGGCAAGUCAAGUGUGAAAUCCGGCGGCUCAACCGCUGGGCUGCGCUUGAAACUGCCGGGCUUGAGUGCAGCAGAGGGAGACGGAAUUGCCGGUGUAGGGGUGAAAUCCGUAGAUAUCGGCAAGAACGCCGGUGGGGAAGCCGGUCUCCUGGGCUGUUACUGACGCUGAGGCCCGAAAGCUGGGGGAGCGAACCGGAUUAGAUACCCGGGUAGUCCCAGCCGUAAACGAUGCUCACUAGGUGUGGGGGAGAUAAAUCCUCCGUGCUGAAGCUAACGCGCUAAGUGAGCCGCCUGGGGAGUAUGCCCGCAAGGGUGAAACUCAAAUGAAUUGACGGGG